GCUGGGUCUUCCAACAUGACAAUGACCCGAAGCACACAGCCAGGAUAACCAAGGAGUGGCUCUGUAAGAAGCAUAUCAAGGUUCUGGCGUGGCCUAGCCAGUCUCCAGACCUAAACCCAAUAGAGAAUCUUUGGAGGGAGCUCAAACUCCGUGUUUCUCAGCGACAGCCCAGAAACCUGACUGAUCUAGAGAAGAUCUGUGUGGAGGAGUGGGCCAAAAUCCCUCCUGCAGUGUGUGCAAACCUGGUGAAAAACUACAGGAAACGUUUGACCUCUGUAAUUGCAAACAAAGGCUACUGUACCAAAUAUUAACAUUGAUUUUCUCAGGUGUUCAAAUACUUAUUUGCAGCUGUAUCAUACAAAUAAAUAGUUAAAAAAUCAUACGUUGUGAUUUCUGGAUUUUUUUUUUAGAUUAUGUCUAUGGGCUGAAAUAUGUGCCACCAGAAUCUGAAUUUGAACCCUUUAUAUUUGAAUUUGAAUGGCUAAACUUGAAUAAUUGCAUUGAAAAACUGAAUUUGAAUCACAUAAUUUGAAAUUGUAUUGUUUAAUUAAAAUUUAAUUUAUUCAAAAACUGAAUCUGAAUUGUAUCAUUUGAAAUUGAAUUUAUUCGUUUGGAACUGAAGUCCAAUAAAAUCUGAUCCUCACUGAAAAUUAAACUCUCUAUAUAUCUUCACAUUUCACUUCUCACAAUUCAGAUUCAGUUCUCAAAUUCAAUUUCAAGUUACUGAGACAGACAUCCGGGUAGUUGGAGGAUGAAGGAAGAGCAAUCGAGCGCAGAUCGAUAGAUAGCGUUCAUUGGCGCACAGGACUCCUCUUGGGCCAAUCAGCACCAAUGUUUUUGAGCACAGGGCGUUACCCGCCAUGAAACAAAGAAGUGCUUGCCUGACUUGCGUGACCACCACCAUGGAUUCGUCUGGGACAAAUACGAUUCCUGCUGCUCCAGUAGCUCUGAUCGACUUCUCCUCUGCUAAAGUCAAAAAAAAAAAAGCUUGACCGUUCUAUUGAUGGCAGGACAACUGAAAACCAGUUAUGGAUGCAAACAUGAAGCACAAGCCAGAGGAGUCUAUGAGAAGCUGAUGGGUCGGGAGCAUGCAGGCUUCUCCUGUAUGGACAGUGGUCUCUGGCUGAACCCCAAGUGGCCAUACAUGGGGUCCUCCC
Xyrauchen texanus (razorback sucker) is the source of this 1157-nucleotide long non-coding RNA. RefSeq lists it as uncharacterized. NCBI's taxonomy places the organism in Eukaryota, Metazoa, Chordata, Actinopteri, Cypriniformes, Catostomidae. The transcript is spliced from 3 exons. The record is from RefSeq and is a predicted model, not a curated record.